RNAcentral lists this microRNA precursor (84 nucleotides) under Dasypus novemcinctus (nine-banded armadillo). RNAcentral describes it as "miRNA (ENSDNOG00000040093.1)". The record is from RNAcentral. Lineage: Eukaryota; Metazoa; Chordata; Mammalia; Cingulata; Dasypodidae.
AUACUGGAUUUGGAGUCAGAAGGCUGGCGUUUGAAUCUAUGCUUUACCACUUAAUGCUGGCUGUGUGACUCAAAAUCUCAGACU